UCAAGUCCAUGAGCAACUUCGUCAAUAAAUCUUUGGAAUGUACUCGUGGCGUUCUGCAGACCGAAGCUCAUAAAAAGGAACUCAAAGCUGCCAAAAGGAGUAGUGAUGGCAGUUUUUGGAUUGACCGGAAUCUGAAUUAAGUGGAAACUG
This is a long non-coding RNA of Octopus sinensis (East Asian common octopus), 150 nucleotides long. RefSeq lists it as uncharacterized. The transcript has 3 exons. The record is from RefSeq and is a predicted model, not a curated record. Lineage: Eukaryota; Metazoa; Mollusca; Cephalopoda; Octopoda; Octopodidae.